Molecule: small nuclear RNA, 164 nt
Filed under: Pelusios castaneus (West African mud turtle)
Lineage: Eukaryota; Metazoa; Chordata; Testudines; Pelomedusidae
Description: U1 spliceosomal RNA (ENSPCEG00000000493.1)
Rfam family: U1 spliceosomal RNA
About the family: U1 is a small nuclear RNA (snRNA) component of the spliceosome (involved in pre-mRNA splicing).
Source: Rfam by way of RNAcentral
AUACUUACCUGGCAAAGGAGACACCAUUAUCAUGAAGGUGGUUUUCCCAAGGUCAGGCUUAUCCAUUGCACUGUGGGUGUGCUGACCACUGUGAUUUCCCCAAAUGCAGGAAACUUGACUGCAUAGUUUGUAGUAGUGUGGGACUACGUUCACGCUCUCCCUUG